GAAAGCUCGAGCGAGGUUGUGGCUGGUCCCUCCCGGGGGGCAACGUGCACGCCUCGUCUCUCGUCUUCAUCUAUCAACCCCUGUGCACCUCUGCGUGGGUCCCCAUCUCGGGGGCUUGCGUCCUUUCACCACAAAACACAUUCGUAUGUAUCGGAACGUUAUGAUGAUGAUAAAAACCAGUACAACUUUCAACAACGGAUCUCUUGGCUCU
This 211-nucleotide unclassified non-coding RNA is filed under the name rhizosphere metagenome. RNAcentral describes it as "partial ribosomal RNA internal transcribed spacer region". The record is from RNAcentral.